AAGGAUUCCCCUAGUAACUGCGAGUGAAGCGGGAAAAGCUCAAAUUUAAAAUCUGAUAGUCUUAGGCUGUCCGAGUUGUAAUCUAGAGAAGUGUUAUCCGCGCUGGACCGUGUACAAGUCUCCUGGAAUGGAGCGUCAUAGAGGGUGAGAAUCCCGUCUUUGACACGGACUACCAGGGCUUUGUGAUGCGCUCUCAAAGAGUCGAGUUGUUUGGGAAUGCAGCUCAAAAUGGGUGGUAAAUUCCAUCUAAAGCUAAAUAUUGGCGAGAGACCGAUAGCGAACAAGUACCGUGAGGGAAAGAUGAAAAGAACUUUGGAAAGAGAGUUAAACAGUACGUGAAAUUGCUGAAAGGGAAACGCUUGAAGUCAGUCGCGUUGACCAGGGAUCAACCUUGCUCUUGCUGGGUGUACUUUCUGGUUAACGGGUCAACAUCAAUUUUGAUUGUUGGAAAAAGAUCAAGGGAAUGUAGCAUCUUCGGAUGUGUUAUAGCCUUUGGUUGUAUACAACAAUUGGGAUUGAGGAACUCAGCACGCCGAAAGGCCGGGUUUUUAACCACGUUCGUGCUUAGGAUGUUGGCAUAAUGGCUUUAAUCGACCCGUCUUGAAACACGGACCAAGGAGUCUAACAUGCCUGCGAGUGUUUGGGUGGAAAACCCGAGCGCGUAAUGAAAGUGAAAGUUGAGAUCCCUGUCGCGGGGAGCAUCGACGCCCGGACCAGAAAUUUAUGGACGGUUCCGCGGUAGAGCAUGUAUGUUGGGACCCGAAAGAUGGUGAACUAUGCCUGAAUAGGGUGAAGCCAGAGGAAACUCUGGUGGAGGCUCGUAGCGAUUCUGACGUGCAAAUCGAUCGUCAAAUUUGGGUAUAGGGGCGAAAGACUAAUCG
Molecule: ribosomal RNA, 881 nt
Filed under: Cystoderma muscicola
Lineage: Eukaryota; Fungi; Basidiomycota; Agaricomycetes; Agaricales; Squamanitaceae
Description: partial large subunit ribosomal RNA
Rfam family: Eukaryotic large subunit ribosomal RNA
Source: RNAcentral